Molecule: long non-coding RNA, 1716 nt
Organism: Cyprinus carpio (common carp)
Lineage: Eukaryota; Metazoa; Chordata; Actinopteri; Cypriniformes; Cyprinidae
Source: Ensembl
ACCCGUCUGUGCAGCAGUCUCCACAAGAUAUACCAAAGAAAUCAAGAGUCGAGAAGGCUGAAAAAGGUAGGAUUCAUUCAUUCAUUCCAAGGCUCAAUGUACAUUUGUAGGCUUUCAAUGUAUUAUUACAAAAAUUGUGCCAACAGUAAUACCUCUAUGCAUGGGAAUCUAAAUUAGUCCUAAUAUGAAGACAUUUUUUGCCAAAAAGGGGCUUCAACUAUCAUUAGGUUAACUGUUGAAAUGAACAUUUACUACUGUGUGACUUAGGCUACUCAUUUACUUAUCUGAUGUGUAAAGUGAUGUUUAUCCACAAAUUCCAGUGACUCAGUCUUAAGUAUUUUUGGAGAUUUAAAUGUAAAUGUUUUGUGUGUCUAGUUAAGUGUCAAGCUGUUGACCUCCCAGCCAUCAGACAUUAGCAUACAUCACACACAUCAAAUGAACACUGACAUCUGUAACUAAAUUUCAUGUUUCAUCUGUCAUUGAAACCUUAUAGUGUUAUCACCUCUGUGGGAUCAUCCACAGAUCUCUGCAGCAGAAAAGGCUAAAGAAACUGGUGAGCAUGUUUCGCAGUCAACUACACUUUACAGAACUUUGAAGUAUGGGAUUUUUAAUCUCAGUAUUGCUCUUUAUGUGCUUGUGUGCUUCUUUGAUCACUUUAUCACUAUUUAAAUCUGAUUUAAAGUGUCAAUAUCUCAUUAUGAGGUCUUUUUUUAUUACAGGAGCCCCUACCCUGCAAACUGCUCUGCAGGAGGCAAAGCAGACCAUUGAAGUUCAAAAAAGGGAGAUUGCUACCCUAAAAGAAUGGGUAGAUACACUUAAAGAGGAAAGAAAUUUCCUCCGCGAAAGACUUACAGAGGCUCUUGCAUUUAGAAGUAAUAUCCCACCUAUAAAGCAGGCACCUGAACAGAGGAAACAGGAGUCCGAUAUAUCUGACUCCUCAUCUUCUGAUUCAUCGUCUGAGCACGAUUCGGAGUCCUCAGAGACCAAGAAUAGGAAGAAGAAGAAGAAGUCCCAGUCCAAAACGGCAAAAAAACGGGGCAAGACACUAAGAGUCAAAACCCCUGACGACUCCAUCCGCCGCUACACAAUGGUAUUGGAAAAGGUUAAAAAGGAUCGCAUCAGCAAAGCUGAAGCUUAUUUUAGGCUUGGGGUAGAUCGGAAUACCAUUGUGUCUCAGGCUCCGAUUGCAGAACUUGCAGCAACUAAUCCAGAUCUGUUCCAUACCCUGAGGUCCACUUUUAAAAGAAAGGACAGCCUGAAAAGGUUUGUUGAAACUUGCAGGGGGUUUUGUGAGCAGGAGCCUACAGCUUCAGCUAUUUUAAAGAAAAAAUAUGAUGGAUCCUUACUGGAUAUUUACAAGAACUAAGCAAGUUUGUAUGUUAGUAUGCCAUGUGUUUGUGCCAUUUAUUUGUUCAUUUUAUUUUUGUUUAGCAUUAAAUAUUUCAUGAGGAGUCCACAUGAGUAGCUUGUUACAUUAAAAAGUGGUUCCUUACCCUUAAAAAAGACCAAGCUGUUUGUGAAACCUUUUUUCAUCUUUUUUUUUUUAUUUUAUUUUUUUUGGAAAUCCUUUAACAGCUUUAUGGUUUUAAGUGUUUUCAGAUAAAGGCACUAAAAGUUCAUGGUAUAUGUACUGUAUUCCUAAUAAGCUCUUCCCAGGCAUUGCUGUUCAUUUAACUGGGUUAUACUGUUUCUGAAUAAAACAGAAAGUUAAGAUCA